Long non-coding RNA from Numida meleagris (helmeted guineafowl), 992 nucleotides. RefSeq lists it as uncharacterized. NCBI's taxonomy places the organism in Eukaryota, Metazoa, Chordata, Aves, Galliformes, Numididae. The record is from RefSeq and is a predicted model, not a curated record. The transcript has 3 exons.
GAGAUGACUGAUUUGCUCACACUUCUUCCCAGCCAUUGAUGUGGUUACUUCUUUUCAGUAAAGAAAAAAUAAUUGCUGGUAUCAGUGAGAAGUCCUUAAUGUCUAUGUUGCAAAAAUUAGAACAAAGUCUAUCAAAUUUAUCUGAUGUAUUUAUGCUGGAUCAUAAUACUGCUUUUUGUACUCUGUACUCCUUUGGAAACCACAGAAUUAGUAAUAUUGCCCUAUCCAGUUUGCCAGUACAUUGCCCUUGGAGCUAUCUUCCAAUAGACAUCGGAGCUGGGUGAUGAUUAUUGAAAGGUGUUUGGGAGAAGAGGUUCACUCCGGAGGUAAGCCUCAGAACAAGUAGAUAUAUCAAAAUGAUUAGGAACCUUUAUGUCUUUAGUUGCCACAAUACAUUUGAUAGAUCAGAUGGAUGUAGUGAUGGACAGGAGGAGUUAUAGAUUUAUGGCUGAACAGCACAAUCAUAGUGAUGUCCUCUACUACUAGGGUCACUAGGAAAUUGACUUACUUUUGAAUGACACCUGGUAAAAGAUAACAGAAGCGGAGAACCACAGAAAGUAUUUGGAAGUUCAGCAGAAUAUGCAACAAGCCAAAAAGCUGAUAAUUUCUAUACCUCUUAUUUACUUCUCACUGCCUUCUGAUUGUGUGGACAAAUGGUACCUUCAGGACAAGGCAUUUCCACAAUGCUUGACUGGUGGAGAUGUAGUCAGAACCUGGUGGUUGACAGAAUUAGACGACACAAGAGACAUAGUUAGGAGUAGCUUGGAAGUCAUGGAAAAAAUGAAUGUGAAAAAAUUCAUUAUGGUGAACUCUACAACUGAGUCAAAAAAGAGAUGAGAGCACUGGAUUCUGGGAAACAUACUACGAAAGUUACAAUCAUAAUAAAUUAGGAGGAGCUACAUGGGAGCAGUUCUUCAUUAGCAAGUGAUUUGCAUAGAUAACAGAUCUCUGCAUUGAAGUCUUGCGAAUGUGCUUUGCCCCAGGGAUGGUGG